GACGAACGCUGGCGGCGUGCCUAAUACAUGCAAGUAGAACGCUGAAGAGAGGAGCUUGCUCUUCUUGGAUGAGUUGCGAACGGGUGAGUAACGCGUAGGUAACCUGCCUGGUAGCGGGGGAUAACUAUUGGAAACGAUAGCUAAUACCGCAUAAAAUGGAUUAUCGCAUGAUAAUCCAUUGAAAGGUGCAAAUGCAUCACUACCAGAUGGACCUGCGUUGUAUUAGCUAGUUGGUGGGGUAACGGCUCACCAAGGCGACGAUACAUAGCCGACCUGAGAGGGUGAGCGGCCACACUGGGACUGAGACACGGCCCAGACUCCUACGGGAGGCAGCAGUAGGGAAUCUUCGGCAAUGGACGGAAGUCUGACCGAGCAACGCCGCGUGAGUGAAGAAGGUUGUCGGAUCGUAAAGCUCUGUUGUAAGAGAAGAACGAGUGUGAGAGUGGAAAGUUCACACUGUGACGGUAUCUUACCAGAAAGGGACGGCUAACUACGUG
This 497-nucleotide ribosomal RNA is filed under the name uncultured bacterium. Its description in RNAcentral is "partial 16S ribosomal RNA". It matches the Rfam family "Bacterial small subunit ribosomal RNA", at positions 28 to 507 of the family's 1533-position model. The record is from RNAcentral.